AGCGUCUUCGCCAAGCCCUGGCCGACCCCUGUCGCGGCCCACACACGUCCCCGCCACGACCAUCAGGCAGGGCGGCACUCCUUCCUUCAUUAACGGUAACGAGAUGGUAUUAGCAAGUGUGCGGUAACCAGGUGUGAAGCAGUAACCUUUAUCACCCGGCCACGCUGUCUGGAAACUGCCAGAUACUCGUCUAAGUUUUGGGCGGCGUGUGCUUUUUUUUUCUACGUUUCUUGUCCUAAUGGAGAAUAAAAACGGCGAGCAUUUAAGACAAAUGAUAAGUGAGGCGAGACAGGUGUGCCGUUACGGGGCGUCUGCGCGGCGGCCGUGGGACCCGCAAAGAUCCGGCUUAUCAGGAGCGGACAGCUGGCCUCCACCAGCCUCGGGACGCCCUUGCCGUGCUCCUCGCUCCUGGCCAGCACACCCGCGCACCCGCCUUACCGUCCACAUCGGCCGGGAACAGGCUGGCGAGAGGACCCGUAAGAGCGGCGCGGUGAAGGCGACGAGGCUGCCAGGCCGGACUCCUGUCGAGGCUGUCAGCGGCCCCGCCCUUACACCGCACCUCGGGAUGUCCGGAUCGACUCCCUUGGGAUUUCCGCAUGCCGUCCCUGAGAGCACAAAGUAUUUGCACGACGCAGACGGUGCUGGUGUUAGUCAGUCGCCACCAGCGGCCCCAGGCACACCUCUCCGCCCUGGCUGCAUUAUGGUCUCUUGAUCGGAGGUGGUCGCCGCUCACUCACGGACACAAAUGGAGGAGAAUCAAAAGAAAAACUGGCCUGCAGAGAACUAUGGCCGCUUCCUAUCGCUAGAUUUCUCCCCGGCAUUCUCCUCCGCUCUCUCUCUUCGUCUGCCAUUUUCUGCUCCCUGUCUACUAUAACAUCUACACUGCACCCCCAUCAGGUACUGUAUUGUAAAGACAAGAUUAGUUUUUCAAGUAAGAGGAGCUGAAAUAAUACAAGUUAACGUAUCCAGGAGUAAAAUAAUAAGGUGUGUAAAAUAUCCGACAAGCUCAAUAAGUGAUGUUGAAUUUUUAGAAAGAAAUAAAAGAAAUAUAAAACAGAACCCAAAGGCAGAUCAUGAAAGUAAGCA
RNAcentral lists this unclassified non-coding RNA (1086 nucleotides) under Portunus trituberculatus (swimming crab). RNAcentral's name for it is "uncharacterized LOC123508800, transcript variant X1". The record is from RNAcentral. Lineage: Eukaryota; Metazoa; Arthropoda; Malacostraca; Decapoda; Portunidae.